Lytechinus variegatus (green sea urchin) is the source of this 856-nucleotide long non-coding RNA. RefSeq lists it as uncharacterized. The record is from RefSeq and is a predicted model, not a curated record. The transcript has 2 exons. Lineage: Eukaryota; Metazoa; Echinodermata; Echinoidea; Temnopleuroida; Toxopneustidae.
CGUUGUUUUUAACAUAUCUGGGCCCUGUUGCAUAAAAAUUUAUGUCAUAAUGACAUAAAUUUCGAUCGUGACAUAAAAUCAUGCAUAGCUUAUGUCGUUGACAUAAAUUUCGUUGCAUAAAAAUAUUUAUGUAUUGUUUUAGCUUAUGACGCGGUUUAAUCAUCAUUACAUAAACUGAAUAGUCAUGAACGAGCCUGUUGACAUAAACUUGGCAUAAGUUGUCAUUUUUCAGCCGCAGGAAGCUCUUGCGAAAAAGGGUCUUCGGCUUUCUAUUUGGACGGGAUAGAGGCCUAUUUUGGUAUGUAUCAAAUUUUCAUUGUUGUAUAUCGUAGAUAAUAGAUAUAUCUCACGUUCUGACCAAAAUUAAAAGUUUCUAAGUAUGAGGAGAUGUUUUAAAUAAAUCAUUAUCGCCGUCAAGUUUAUGUAAUGAUUGCUCGGAUACUCUCCGGCUGCUCUUACUAGUCUUAGCCGUACAACACCGGCAGUGCUAGCCGGAGGUUCCGGCGUCUGACAAAGACAAAUAAUGCAUGGAAUCAACAACAGAACAGUGUUAAAUAAUCUUCACGACAUUGAACAUUGAUUUUAAGGUUCGGCGUCGGAUAAACACAAAUAAUUCAUGGGAUGAACACUGACAGAAAACAGUUUUAAUUAAUCUUCACGACAUUUUAUUGGACAUUUUCAUUCAUUGAUUUGAAAUUAAAGGUUUUUUAAGAGCAUCACUGUUUUUCCUGGAAAGAUCUAGGCCUAGGCCUAUGUUAACAUUACUUGUUAGGCCUAGUCUAACGUUAGACUUAGAGCCGAACUGUCUAAGAUUAGACUAGAAGUCUAGACUAGACACUCUAGAGUCUAUACAAAA